Neofelis nebulosa (Clouded leopard) is the source of this 822-nucleotide long non-coding RNA. RefSeq lists it as uncharacterized. The record is from RefSeq and is a predicted model, not a curated record. Lineage: Eukaryota; Metazoa; Chordata; Mammalia; Carnivora; Felidae. The transcript has 5 exons.
AAUUCCAUAGAAGACUGAGACUAAGCAGUCAUAAAGAUAGAGGCAGAACCUAGAGAACAAAGUCAUGGAAACCAUGGUAGCAGCGCAUUUACAAAAAAGGGUGGGAUGAAAAGCAUCAAUGGACAGUGGAUGGAGUGAGGAGAUUCAAAAUGGACUGGAGAUUCAAAAUAAUCCACUGGUUUUUGACAAGUGAACAGUCUGGUCAGAUUUUCACAGUACCAAACUAUAAGCAUUAUUUCUAACAGCCAAGACAUGGAAACAAACUAUCCACUGAUAGAUGAAUGGAUCAAGAAUGUGUGAUAUAUACAAUCUGGUUUAUACAAAUGGAAUAUUAAUCCAACAAUACAAAACAAGAAAAUCUUGUCACCUGCAACAAGGUGGAUGGACCCUGAGGGCAUUAUGCUAAGUGAGGAGCUAGGAGAAUGAGAUUAUGGAGAAGAAAAGAAUGGGGUCAGAAAUUCCUAGAGGACAGAGAGAAAGCUAAAGAAAAAAGAUUAUGGAUCUUCAGAGGCUUUGUGCCAUUAAAAAAAUAACAACAGAACCAACAGUUCCAGGUUAUAGUUUAGACUACCACCAACUCAGGUACAUUUAUUCACACCAGAAACAAUACAGCACUUCUACAAAUGCACAGCGAUGUUCCACGUUCCCAUCUAACAGAGCUUGCUGAAAUUUAAAGCCAGCUGACCAGGUUCCAUCUGAUGUGUACUCCAUGUAAAGCUGAUUAAUGAUGACCAUAAGCAGACGCAGGACUUGAAGCUUUCAAAGCUGUACUUCUUUUAUGAGCACUCCUGAUUUUAUAAAUGACGAAGCCCAUCAACCUCA